UAAUACGUAGGGGGCAAGCGUUGUCCGGAUUCACUGGGCGUAAAGCGCGCGCAGGCGGUGAUGUAAGUCUGAGGUGAAAACCCGAAGCUCAACUUCGGGACUGCCUUGGAUACUGCGUCACUUGAGGAUAGGAGAGGCAAGGGGAAUUCCACGUGUAGCGGUGAAAUGCGUAGAGAUGUGGAGGAACACCUGUGGCGAAGGCGCCUUGCUGGCCUAUUUCUGGCGCUGAGGCGCGAAAGCGUGGGGAGCAAACAGGAUUAGAUACCCUGGUAGUCCACGCUGUAAACGAUGAGUGCUAGGUGUAGGUGGGCUCAUACCCAUCUGUGCCGAAGCUAACGCAUUAAGCACUCCGCCUGGGGAGUACGGUCGCAAGACUG
RNAcentral lists this ribosomal RNA (377 nucleotides) under uncultured Bacillota bacterium. Its description in RNAcentral is "bacterial SSU rRNA". It matches the Rfam family "Bacterial small subunit ribosomal RNA", at positions 521 to 896 of the family's 1533-position model. Lineage: Bacteria; Bacillati; Bacillota. The record is from RNAcentral.